CUAGCACGCCAGGAGCCGCAGUCCAGCAUGGACCAGUCCUCCACUGGUUUGUGCGUGCACCGACCCGGGCGGGCGUUCGCGGCGAGAGGACGAGGUCUGCCAAACGCAGCGCAUCCUUCGUGGGAACGGUGCCCGGAGACAGAUGAAGGGACUAGGUAAAGGGAGAGAAGAGCGGGACAAGAAAGGGGUUUAGGCUGCUGUUCUCUGUUGGCGACGGCGCUGCGUCGGCUUCUGCCCCCCGUCCCUUCCCCUUCCCGACCUCGCGCCACCCCUGGGCGAAGAGCAGCGGCCGCAUCCAUGCCAGCGGGCAAGCCGACGAGGGACGGGUUGGUCUAGGUCGGGGUAGCAGCAACAAGGAGCGGCAGCAGCUGCCCUACGCCGGCAGCAGAUGAAGGAGACGGGCUCCCUACCUUUGCAGCCGUGACCUCAGCACCGGCACCGCCCCUUCCGCCUGGGUCGCGUCGAGACGGUCACCGAGUUCUCCUUCUAUUCGUUCCUACAGUUCUAAAAGGCGGCAACAGGUUUGCCCGACUCUUAACAUUAUUCGUCCAUACGUAGGGAGAACAGAUGAACAUGACGUCUUACUUCCUGCUACACACAUUAUAGGUUUACUUACGUGCGAUAAUGCUUCCCGAUCGGCACACCCCAAUUCCACGAGCGGCCGCCGCUGGACGCACCGAGAGCCGGACGUAGGAGUGACUUGAGUUGUGGUUGAUAGCGCGCGGGCGCUACACUGACGACAACGUUGUUGCUGCCGGUUGCCGAUAACUUGCUGCUCCUACGGGAAGCCCCCAAUAUCGUACGUUUCGUUUCGUCAACGAGCUAUGAGUGUCGGUUAUAUAGAGGCACAUCUUCGUCUUCUUCGUCGUGAACUAAGCAUUCGUUGUUAAAAUAGACAAAGCAAGGAAACAUAAAAACGGGAGACAAAGAUGACUAACAUACAUAGUGAAAAAGUCUAUAUAACUAGAAGUGUAAGAAUCAACCGUAGGCAUCACCAACAUCAACAUGUGUAUCGUCAAGAACCAACCUAUGCUGUUAAUCUUUCAACGUGUUGUGAUUUGGAAAAAGGAUGCCGCCACUUUCACCUUGCCUUAUGUAACUUGACUUAUGUGUACCGCUAGUAAAAACCGUAAAUAUCAUUAAGAACAACGUGUGUAUCAACAAAAGCAGUCUCUGCUAGUAAUGAUAUCAUCAACAUCAACGUGUAUGUCAACAAGAGUCAACCUAGGAUAAUAACUUUUUAACGUGUGUACCGUUAGUAAAAAACAACCGUAGAUAUCAUCAAGAUCAACGUGUGUAUCAACAAAAGUCAACCUGUGCUAGUAACCUUUUAAUGUGUGUGCCGCUAGUUAAAACCCACCGUAGAUAUCAGCAAGAUCAACGUGUGUAUCAACAAAAGUCAACCUAUGCCAGUAACCUUUCGACGUGUAUACCACUAGUAAAAAACAACCGUAGAUAUCAUCAAGAUCAACGUAUGUAUCAACAAAAGUCAACCUGUGUCAGUAACCUUCAUCAACCGUCCCCGUUAUCUUCAUCAACGUGUCUUAGACGAUCCGUUUUGAAAUACCACCGCUUUCUAAGGAGAAUCAUUUAGACGUCUCUUCUUUACACGCGCGCCUCCGUCAUAGAUUUCCCCAUCUACGGUGUAGAAGACGUCGUCGGCGACACCAUUGUAUUUCAAGAUAGUACUUAUGAAAAAUGAGGUGUAUGUCCGUCGGUUCACAUACUUAAAAGUAUGUACCAACGUCUUCCUGAUUAAUUCGUAACCGUACGAGAUGAAAGAGUCAACGAGUUGCAACGGUAGAAGUUCAAAAAAUCUUAACAGGGUUCUCAUACAUUGCUGAACCGUAGGAGACCGAAAGAUCAACGUCUUAUUAUAGAUUAAUCAACCGUUGGAGCCAUUAAGAUUAACGUGUUGUUAUUGAUCAACUGUAGGAGUAGAAGAGAUCAACGUGUUCUUGAGUCUAAUCAAGGUAGAAUUUUUUUUACUCCUAAAGGGAUAUCAUACAUCGCUGAACUGUGGGAAUCCGAAAGAUCAACGUCUUCUCAUAGAUAAAUCAACCGUGGGAGCCGUUAAGAUCAACCUGUUAUAAUAGGUUCAUCAACUAUACGAGUCGGAGAGAUCAACGUGUUUUUAAGUCUAAUUAGGGUAGAAUUUUUUAAACUCCUAACGGGUUGCCAUAGAUUAGUGAACCGUGGGAGUCCGAAAGAUGAACGUCUUCUAAUAGAUAAAUCAACCGUGGGAGAUGUUAAGAUCAACCUGUUGUAAUAGGUUCAUCAACCGUAGGAGUCGGAGAGAUCAACGUGUUUUUAUAGAGUAAUCAACCGUAGUAGUCGUAAAGAUCAGCGUGUUCUUAUAGAGUAAUCAACAGUAGUGGUCGUAAAGAUCAACGUCUUGUUUGUCCUAUAGUUCAACGGUAGGAGUUGUAAAAUUAGAUCAAAAGGUCUCUUGUUUAUAAACAUACAUUACUAUUGAUUAGUGGAAACGGAAAAAAACGUUUGGGGCUCUAUAACAAGGUCCUUUACUCUCAUUACUUCGUAUAUUACAACUUGCUAUCAGUGUUCGACCGAUGGACUACCUCUGAUGCGACCUAUGGACUACAAACUCAACCUAUCUUAUGUACAAAAUCAACCGAUAUUAUGUACCCAUGGACGUGUGUUGGAACACAUACGAACAACGUGUGUAGGUCCCCUUUUUACCGAUAAAUUGGUACAAAUCAACGUGUCCCUUGAUGUAGUUGGAAAAAACAUGAUACUACGUAAAAAAGUGGGCACCUAUACAAACAAACCUGUGUAGGUACACUUUCAACCAAACUUUGGUACCAAAAGAACGUGUCCCUUGACUUAAAGAAUACGAAAAUGAACUAGAAGGAAGAGUUUUAGUACCUCAAAAAAAAUGAACUAAACCCUCUAAAUCUCCCUUUCCCGUUCCCUCUAUCAGUUGUUCCAAACGUGUACCCUCUCCUCUUCCUAAAGAAUGGAACCGCAACGAACCAUUCGAAGAGAAGAGAAGAAGGACAAAAAGACUGGUUCUAGAGGAGUGGAACCAACGAAACGGUACCGUCGAGAUGUCCUAGACCAAGUACCGUAACCUAGACCAAAGAAAGUACU
This 3111-nucleotide ribosomal RNA is filed under the name Triticum aestivum (bread wheat). RNAcentral's name for it is "partial small subunit ribosomal RNA". The record is from RNAcentral. Lineage: Eukaryota; Viridiplantae; Streptophyta; Magnoliopsida; Poales; Poaceae.